Long non-coding RNA from Entelurus aequoreus (snake pipefish), 311 nucleotides. RefSeq lists it as uncharacterized. NCBI's taxonomy places the organism in Eukaryota, Metazoa, Chordata, Actinopteri, Syngnathiformes, Syngnathidae. The transcript has 3 exons. The record is from RefSeq and is a predicted model, not a curated record.
AUGGUUUUCUGGCCCAGCUAUAAAAACACCGACAGCAUUGAAAGGGCCGCUUUAAAUGAGGAGCAGCAUGAGCCAAACUGGCCAAGAUUUGACGUUUCUGUUGUCCGAACUUGUGACAACUACAAAGACGCAUUAAAAAUAAUGCAACAAUAUGGAAAGGGCUGCGACACCUCAGACCUGCAAUCUGAGGCAGAGAACGAGGAGCUGCCAGAAAAAAGGAACAGGAAGCCAGUCCAUCGUCUCGGGGACUCAGAUGAUAGCGAAGAAGACCCGGGAAAUAGUGACCUCACAUCUCUGGGGUUGGCAAGCCA